UACAGAGGGGGCAAGCGUUGUUCGGAAUUACUGGGCGUAAAGGGCGCGUAGGCGGCCUGCUAAGUCGAACGUGAAAUCCCUGGGCUCAACCCAGGAACUGCGUCCGAUACUGGUUGGCUUGAAUCCGGGAGAGGGACGUGGAAUUCCAGGUGUAGAGGUGAAAUUCGUAGAUAUUAGGAAGAACACCGGUGGCGAAGGCGGCCCACUGGAUCGGUACUGACGCUGAGGUGCGAAAGCGUGGGGAGCAAACAGG
Molecule: ribosomal RNA, 253 nt
Filed under: uncultured bacterium
Lineage: Bacteria
Description: partial 16S ribosomal RNA
Rfam family: Bacterial small subunit ribosomal RNA
Source: RNAcentral